RNAcentral lists this ribosomal RNA (562 nucleotides) under bacterium. RNAcentral's name for it is "bacterial SSU rRNA". It matches the Rfam family "Bacterial small subunit ribosomal RNA", at positions 890 to 1452 of the family's 1533-position model. The record is from RNAcentral.
AAGGUUAAAACUCAAAUGAAUUGACGGGGGCCCGCACAAGCGGUGGAGCAUGUGGUUUAAUUCGAUGCAACGCGAAGAACCUUACCUACUCUUGACAUCCAGAGAACUUAGCAGAGAUGCUUUGGUGCCUUCGGGAACUCUGAGACAGGUGCUGCAUGGCUGUCGUCAGCUCGUGUUGUGAAAUGUUGGGUUAAGUCCCGCAACGAGCGCAACCCUUAUCCUUUGUUGCCAGCGAUUCGGUCGGGAACUCAAAGGAGACUGCCAGUGAUAAACUGGAGGAAGGUGGGGAUGACGUCAAGUCAUCAUGGCCCUUACGAGUAGGGCUACACACGUGCUACAAUGGCAUAUACAAAGAGAAGCGACCUCGCGAGAGCAAGCGGACCUCAUAAAGUAUGUCGUAGUCCGGAUUGGAGUCUGCAACUCGACUCCAUGAAGUCGGAAUCGCUAGUAAUCGUGGAUCAGAAUGCCACGGUGAAUACGUUCCCGGGCCUUGUACACACCGCCCGUCACACCAUGGGAGUGGGUUGCAAAAGAAGUAGGUAGCUUAACCUCGGGAAGGGCG